AUGUUGUGAGGGCUAAAUUGUGCAUCUGUCUUUUCACCAUAAAACAUGAGUCCUAAGUUCUAAGAGUGAACACAGGGAGCAAAAAUUAGUUUAGCUUGGCUGCCGUAGGCCUUGCUUUUUUGUGGAUUGUAGGCGGUGUUCAAAAAAUGGGCUUCUGAAAUUGAAAAAUCUCUUAGAAGGAGUUUAGAUGUCUCUCUAUACCCAAAAGGUAACUUUAUCUUUAUUCGCCUAUUAUUUUUGAGAUGUCAGGUAGAUUCCUUUUAUCCUGAGGCCCAGAGUACUUGGGUACUUUACCCAGGGUCUACCACCAAAUGAUGAGGUCGGAAGUAUCAUUUAGGUUGUGUCCUUGGAGUCUCUUAAAAAUCCCUGUGGGCUCUUAAACUUCCACCAGAUCCCUAAAUGGAAAUCAUUAGAUUUGGCUUGUGCAUGUGAAACAAGGAAAUAGGAUAUAAGUCUGAAGAAUAAAAGGUCCCCUGAGGGUGUUAUUUUGCAUUAUUAUAAAAUCUUUGAUGAAGUUGAAUAGCUGUUCCCUCAAGGAAAACAGAAUUUUGAAAGCGAAUUAAAAAAAAAAAAAAGGGGGGGGGGUCUAUCCUGUCUUUAUCACAACCAGUUUGGGACAAAACUACAUUUUAAAGGAAAAAUAAGUGUAUUCUAGCAGUGUUCUUUAACUCAGUCAUUGGUUUAUUUGUCCAAGGAGGAAAUACAGUGUAGAUUUAGGCUGUAAGUUAGGGCAGGAUUUGGGUAAUAAUUUGAACACGGGAAACUCCGCAUGGUGGCUUAGUGCUUGUGCUGUCUUUUCAGCCUCCAGGCCAUCUACAUUUUCUUUUAUCCAGUUUAACUUGCAAAAGCUGAUCACUCACUUGCCAUGGGCUGAGGCUGUGCUUAAAUACUUGGCAUGGAUAAAUUCACUUAGUCUCCCCAAUAGUUUUGUAUGGUUCAUACCCUUCUCAUCUCCAUUUUACUUAUGGAAACACAGUCAUAGAGAAGGUAAGUAAUUUGUCUGAGUUCACCCAGCUGGAGAGUGGUCGAACCAGAGGUGGGACCCACAGCUAUUCUGUUGCAUGGAACUUAAACUCAUUUGGAGGCCAUGGGUAGGUCUUUGUGGCAGGAGGUAGAGAUAGAAUCUGUGUGGAGAGCUUUGGGAGUGUGUAUUUGCUUCUCCUUAGAGAGCAGACCAAAGUCAUGUGAUCCAAGCCCUUGAAGAAUUACUGAACUGAAUUUGCCAGCGAAGCAACAGUGUAUAGAAAUCUUCCUAUAAUCAAACAAGCCAGAGGCACUGUCCUUCUGAUUGCUUUUACAUCCUGAGCGAUGGUCUUAGCGGGAGUCGUGUUUGGAGAGAAGAUUCAGAGAAUAGUUUCAAUGAGAUAUUUGUAGGUUUCUGGAGCGCAUCUCCACUGAUGGCAGGGGUCACGCUGAAUUUCCUAAGUAAUUUUUCUUGACUUUUUGGUCCGUUUCUUUUAAACUUGAGGUUCCCAUGGCGUGAUGUCAGAAGAAGGCAUGUUUUGUGCAGUGGAUGAAUUCCUGUCGUGGCGCAGUGGUUAACGAAUACGACUAGGAACCAUGAGGUUGCGGGUUCGAUCCCUGCCCUUGCUCAGUGGGUUAACGAUCCGGCGUUGCCGUGAGCCGUGGUGUAGGUUGCAGACGCAGCUCGGAUCCCGCGUUGCUGUGGCUCUGGUGUAGGCUGGCAGCUACAGCUCUGAUUCAACCCCUAGCCUGGGAACCUCCAUAUGCUGCGGGAGCGGCCCAAGAAAUAGC
RNAcentral lists this long non-coding RNA (1755 nucleotides) under Sus scrofa (pig). RNAcentral's name for it is "lncRNA (ENSSSCG00040038121.1)". Lineage: Eukaryota; Metazoa; Chordata; Mammalia; Artiodactyla; Suidae. The record is from RNAcentral.